Molecule: unclassified non-coding RNA, 116 nt
Organism: Pongo abelii (Sumatran orangutan)
Lineage: Eukaryota; Metazoa; Chordata; Mammalia; Primates; Hominidae
Rfam family: Metazoan signal recognition particle RNA
About the family: The signal recognition particle (SRP) is a universally conserved ribonucleoprotein. It is involved in the co-translational targeting of proteins to membranes.
Source: Ensembl
GCCAGGCAUGAUGGCUCAUGCCUGUAAUCUCAACACUUGGGAGGCUGAGGUGGGAGGAUCACUUGAGUCCAGGAGUUUGAGACCAGCCUGGGCAACAUAGUGAGACUCUAUCUCUA